CCAUCCUCCUCUCCUGCCUCCCACGGGAGGGCUUGGGCUCUUCGGGCGCUCCACCAAGGACCGGGUGCUAUUUGGCUAACCUUUGAGUCCUCACACGGACCCGAGGAGACGUGGGCUUCGCCCCAGCAGGUUGGUGACCUCCGUCCCCCCAGUGAAGUCUCGCGAGUCUGCUGGGAAUUUAACCUCUGUCGAGGGGAGCAGCAGAAAGCUGACUGCAGUGGGUUGGGUGUUUUUUUUUAAUUAGGCUGGUGCUGGGCAGCUGUCACUCCUUCUGAUUAAGCUGCCCAGUGUAAUUUGCUGAGGCCAGAGGCCAAGGUCAGUCCCCAAAGCCCAGAGCAGCCCAGCUGGCUGUCCUCAUACUUUAUUCCUCAUUUAGGAGCGGCUGUGCCCUGGAAACCAAGUGGACAAGAGCUCUGUGUUCUCUCGCCAAGGAGGACCCCUUUUCCAUAGAACUUCCAUUUUGGGCUUGGCUGCCUAGCUGGACCCCUGCUGAUGACCUUUAACUUGAGGAAACACAAAUGUAGCUCAGCCUCCAAAUCAAGCAGGUCCUUUGAAUGAAGGGACUGAUCAGGGACCAGACAAACAAAGGGCUCUGAGCUGAAUCUAUGGAAAGCCGGUUGAGAGAUGGCCUCAGAGCCAAAAAGAUCCCAGUUCAUGUUCUGCCUCUGACAUGUACUGACCGGGUGACCCCGGGUACAAGUAGGAUUUAAUCAGAUUGAAUAUUCACCCCAGACUGGGUCCUGGACAAGGCUGAGACACAUCACUUUUUCCUGGGAAUGGUUUUUCUGGCAGAUUGAAGUUCUGGUAAAAACUAGCCAAUCAGUUGAUUGAACAUCAUGGAUUCUGUGGGGACCCUGCUUGGGACAUACUCUGAUCAUCCCCUUGGCUCUGUAUUAUUCAAAUUGGAAACCGUGAGGGCAAAAGCAGUACUAAAGAGGCAUAAAGCAAGGAGCCUGAGUGACUUCUGA
RNAcentral lists this long non-coding RNA (968 nucleotides) under Monodelphis domestica (gray short-tailed opossum). RNAcentral describes it as "lncRNA (ENSMODG00000036299.2)". The record is from RNAcentral. Lineage: Eukaryota; Metazoa; Chordata; Mammalia; Didelphimorphia; Didelphidae.